This 88-nucleotide small RNA is filed under the name Paenibacillus darwinianus. Its description in RNAcentral is "BsrC". It matches the Rfam family "BsrC". From Rfam's summary of the family: The 301 nucleotide sequence from Kouji Nakamura has been trimmed to a highly conserved ~85 nucleotide long core to form this family. Lineage: Bacteria; Bacillati; Bacillota; Bacilli; Caryophanales; Paenibacillaceae. The record is from Rfam by way of RNAcentral.
GCGAACAAAUACAACGAAAGCCCUGCCUCUCUUCCAUCCUUGCGGCUCCGAUGACCGCGCCAGUACGAAUUUGGACAUUGCAAAGCAA